CCUACGGGGGGCUGCAGUCAUGAAUAUUCCACAAUGGGGGAAACCCUGAUGGAGCGACGCCGCGUGCAGGAUGACGGCCUUCGGGUUGUAAACUGCUUUUCUAAGGGACGAAGCUUCGGCUGACGGUACCUUGGGAAUAAGAGGUUGCUAACUCUGUGCCAGCAGCAGCGGUAAUACAGAGACCUCAAGCAUUAUCCGGAUUUAUUGGGCGUAAAGCGUCCGCAGGCGGUCCACCAAGUCUUUCGUUAAAUCUCAAGGCUCAACCUUGAGGCCGCGGGGGAAACUGGUGAACUAGAGGUUGGGAGAGGCAAGCGGAAUUACCGGUGUAGUAGUAAAAUGCGUUAAUAUCGGUAAGAACACCAAAGGCGAAGGCAGCUUGCUGGAACAUACCUGACGCUAAGGGACGAAAGCACGGGGAGCGAAGCGGAUUAGAUACCCAAGUAGUC
RNAcentral lists this ribosomal RNA (446 nucleotides) under uncultured bacterium. RNAcentral describes it as "bacterial SSU rRNA". It matches the Rfam family "Bacterial small subunit ribosomal RNA", at positions 338 to 795 of the family's 1533-position model. The record is from RNAcentral.